CCUACGCGAGGCUGCAGUGGGGAAUAUUGGGCAAUGGAGGCAACUCUGACCCAGCAACGCCGCGUGAAUGAUGAAGGUCUUCGGAUUGUAAAGUUCUGUGAUGGGGGAUGAACACAAUGACGGUACCCCAAUAGCAAGCAACGGCUAACUACGUGCCAGCAGCCGCGGUAAUACGGAGGUGGCAAGCGUUAUCCGGAAUGACUGGGCGUAAAGGGUGCGUAGGUGGUUUAGUAAGCUGACGGUGUAAUUCCGGGGCUCAACCUCGGCGCUACCGCCAAAACUAUUAGACUAGAGUGCAGGAGGGGUAAGUGGAAUUCCUAGUGUAGCGGUGGAAUGCGUAGAUAUUAGGAGGAACAUCAGGGGCGAAGGCGACUUACUGGACUGUAACUGACACUGAGGCACGAAAGCGUGGGGAGCAAACAGGAUUAGAUACCCCAGUAGUC
RNAcentral lists this ribosomal RNA (443 nucleotides) under uncultured bacterium. RNAcentral's name for it is "partial 16S ribosomal RNA". It matches the Rfam family "Bacterial small subunit ribosomal RNA", at positions 338 to 795 of the family's 1533-position model. The record is from RNAcentral.